RNAcentral lists this ribosomal RNA (427 nucleotides) under uncultured beta proteobacterium. RNAcentral describes it as "bacterial SSU rRNA". It matches the Rfam family "Bacterial small subunit ribosomal RNA", at positions 355 to 774 of the family's 1533-position model. Lineage: Bacteria; Pseudomonadati; Pseudomonadota; Betaproteobacteria. The record is from RNAcentral.
UGGGGAAUUUUGGACAAUGGGCGAAAGCCUGAUCCAGCCAUGCCGCGUGAGUGAAGAAGGCCUUCGGGUUGUAAAGCUCUUUUAGUCGGAAAGAAAGAGUUGCAAUGAAUAAUUGUGAUUUAUGACGGUACCGACAGAAAAAGCACCGGCUAACUACGUGCCAGCAGCCGCGGUAAUACGUAGGGUGCGAGCGUUAAUCGGAAUUACUGGGCGUAAAGGGUGCGCAGGCGGUCUUGCAAGUCAGAUGUGAAAGCCCCGGGCUUAACCUGGGAAUUGCGUUUGAAACUACAAGGCUAGAGUGCAGCAGAGGGGAGUGGAAUUCCAUGUGUAGCAGUGAAAUGCGUAGAGAUGUGGAAGAGCACCGAUGGCGAAGGCAGCUCCCUGGGUUGACACUGACGCUCAUGCACGAAAGCGUGGGGAGCAAACA